Molecule: ribosomal RNA, 675 nt
Filed under: Flammulina velutipes
Lineage: Eukaryota; Fungi; Basidiomycota; Agaricomycetes; Agaricales; Physalacriaceae
Description: eukaryotic LSU rRNA
Rfam family: Eukaryotic large subunit ribosomal RNA
Source: RNAcentral
UUAAGCAUAUCAAUAAGCGGAGGAAAAGAAACUAACAAGGAUUCCCCUAGUAACUGCGAGUGAAGAGGGAAAAGCUCAAAUUUAAAAUCUGGCAGCUUCGCUGUCCGAGUUGUAAUUUAGAGAAGUGUUGCCCGCGCUGGACCGUGUACAAGUCUCCUGGAAUGGAGCGUCAUAGAGGGUGAGAAUCCCGUCUUUGACACGGACUCCCAGUGCAUUGUGGUACGCUCUCAAAGAGUCGUGUUGUUUGGGAAUGCAGCACUAAAUGGGUGGUAAAUUCCAUCUAAAGCUAAAUAUUGGCGAGAGACCGAUAGCAAACAAGUACCGUGAGGGAAAGAUGAAAAGAACUUUGGAAAGAGAGUUAAACAGUACGUGAAAUUGUUGAAAGGGAAACGCUUAAAGUCCAGUCGCGUCGGUUGGGAAUCAGUCUCGCUCUUUUGCUUGACGUACUUCCCAGCUGACGGGUCAGCAUCAGUUUUGAUCGUUGGAUAAAGGUUGGAGGAAUGUGGCACCUUCGGGUGUGUUAUAGCCUCUGGUUGUAUACAACGGUUGGGACUGAGGAACUCAGCACGCCGAAAGGCCGGGUACUUGUACCACGUACGUGCUUAGGAUGCUGGCAUAAUGGCUUUAAUCGACCCGUCUUGAAACACGGACCAAGGAGUCUAACAUGCCUGCGAG